This is a long non-coding RNA of Spinacia oleracea (spinach), 1077 nucleotides long. RefSeq lists it as uncharacterized. NCBI's taxonomy places the organism in Eukaryota, Viridiplantae, Streptophyta, Magnoliopsida, Caryophyllales, Amaranthaceae. The transcript is spliced from 3 exons. The record is from RefSeq and is a predicted model, not a curated record.
AGACUACAUUCAUUUCCUUGGAGCCCAAGAACUUUCAUUCUUCUAGAAACCCACCUAAUUACAAAUUGAACCAAUUUCAGAAUUAUUUUUUCAAUACAAAAACCAAAUCAGUUAACAAAAUUGGAAAUCAUCCCUUGUUUCCUUCCUGUUUCGAACCACAGUCACCAACAAACAACCAUCACCGCGACAACCGGCAGCCAUCUACCACCACCAAUCGCCAGCUCCUCCACCAUCUCAACACCAUCGCACCACCAUCAUCCCUCACCUCUCCCGCUCUUCUCCUCCCAUGCACUCCCCUGCCUCGCUCUGUCUUUUCCCUUUUGCGGCACCACCAACGUCGCGCCACCACUCCCAACCUCCCCCACCACCUUGUAAACCAACUCCCGCCCCCACAUACUCCGGCGAGCUAUAUAGUCGCCGCCCAGAACCGCUCCAAGUCACCACCACCAAUUCCCCUGUUCCUCUCUGUUCGCACGACCACCUCCCCUCCCUUGCUGUUUCACCACCGCGAAACCACCACCACCACUGUCGCCUCUCAGCCUUGGUUCCGCGCUGCGACACCCAUACCGCCGCCCACCUCCGCCCACCAUCUCUCCUCUCCUUCCUCUUCGUGCUUCUCCUUCGUGCCCUGCCUCCUCUGUUCCUCGUGCAAAAGAAGAAAAAAAAAAGAGAGAAAAGGGGUUUCAAGAAAACAAAUUCCCAAAUUGGUUUGCUGCUUUUUAUUCCCUUAAGUCAGGCCCAAAUUUCCCUUGGCCCAAAUUACUAAAAAUCGAACUCGGAGCUCAGGAAGCACGGUCCAUCGAACAGGGAAUAUUAACUACGGUUGAGGUACGAAGAAGAUCAUGGGAUGCCUUAGAGUGAGGAUGCAACCAUCAAAUUCACGAUCGAUGUUUAAUAAAGAUAAUCAUGUAUCACUAGUAAUAAUGGAUGAACAAAUUAAACUCUAAGUCAAAUUUCAAUUACUGAGUUGGAUUUUAAUAUUUAUGUUUAAUCAAUGUUAGGAAUAUUUAUUAAAUUUCAUUUAGAUUUCGAUGUAAAUAUUAAAGAAUUAAUCAAAGUGAAGUAUAAUUACUGUUA